GCACGAAUGCCUCAGCUCUUGCUGUGCACUGCCUGACACGCGUUGAUGCUAUGCUUUGUGGAGCCUGUUUACGUUUGGUAGAAAUGGCACCAUCUAGUCCUUAAAAAGGAUCAUCACCACAAUAACUGUUUGGGCUGGUGGAGAGAGUGUUUUCUUCACUCAUGGUGAAGAAUGGGGGAGAUAGAAGGAACAUACAGAGUCCUGCAGACUGCAGGGACGCGCUUGGGUGCCCAGACCCCUGUGGGAGUUAGCACCCUUGAGCCUGGGCAGGCUCUCUUGCCCAGAAUGCAAGAGAAGCACCUGCACCUCAGAGUAAAGCUGCUGGACCACACCUUGGAAAUAUUUGACAUUGAGGUUUGAAAAAUAACAGGUCAACCUCUUCCCAGAUUUCUUGACAUCCUUGGAAACCAUGCAUUUACGCCAUUGCAGAGCAGCUCAAGAAUGGCCCAGAACCCUAUGGUCACCUGGCUGGUUUGCAGAGCCUUUCUUUGUGGCCUGCAUUGCACCUCACACACUGCCUGCUACUUCUGGUCAUGUUGAAUUGCCCACCUUUUAA
This 556-nucleotide small RNA is filed under the name Pongo abelii (Sumatran orangutan). RNAcentral's name for it is "processed transcript". Lineage: Eukaryota; Metazoa; Chordata; Mammalia; Primates; Hominidae. The record is from RNAcentral.